AAAAUGGCGCUUGGUGCAAGUCCCGCCCCUUCUCACGCCUCCGCACUUCGCCGCCUCCCACGCCCCCUCCGACCAACCUGUCUCCCCUCGCCCGAGCGGCUGCUAGCUACGGGGUUCUAGCGGCUUGCUGGGGCCGCGCGACCCCUUCCCUGGUCUUGUUCUUGUCACCUUCCUGUUAUACCGAAGUCGUGUGCUCUUCAGUCCUGGUUCAAUUUCACCUCGUUUUUUUCUCAUCUUCCCCUCAAUCAGCAAGGGCUGAAGAUUUCGUUUCUCUUUUUAAAGUUGCGUUUUGUAUAAAUUCUACAAUAGCGGUUUCAGUAUCAGUUACUUGAAUUACAAGCUGCUUCUCCCCCCACCCCCACAUUGGAACAGGCUCAUUAAGGAUGCCUAAAUCAAAGGAACUUGUUUCUUCAAGCUCUUCUGGCAGUGAUUCUGACAGUGAGGUUGACAAAAAGUUAAAGAGGAAAAAGCAAGUUGCUCCAGAAAAACCUGUAAAGAAGCAAAAGACAGGUGAAACUUCGAGAGCUCUGUCAUCUUCUAAACAGAGCAGCAGCAGCAGAGAUGAUAACAUGUUUCAG
RNAcentral lists this small RNA (578 nucleotides) under Pongo abelii (Sumatran orangutan). RNAcentral describes it as "retained intron". Lineage: Eukaryota; Metazoa; Chordata; Mammalia; Primates; Hominidae. The record is from RNAcentral.